GACAUACAUUAGUGCUCGAGGCGGGAAGCCCAGUUGGAUACCAGAUAAUUUCAAUGCAAGUGAUUUUUAUUACUAUAUUUUGCUUUUGGUCGGGCCUAGCUUUUAAAUAUGUAGGUUUUCAGGUCUUAAGUAUGCAGAUUUUAAUAUGUAUGUUGGAGAUUUUGGUUACUUUUUCAUUAAACAUUAGAAUAUGCAUCUACAUAUAAAGGGUUAGAGAAAAAGAACCCGGUUAGACAUUGUCUUAAACAAUAAGGAAUUACUUUCAGUAAAGACCCGAUAUUUGUGUAUUUUGAAGAGCAGAGACAUGUGGUGAAACUAGGGCAAAGAUUGCAGCCGCAGUGUGGGAAACAUGGGAUAGAUGGUGUUUCACCUGUAGGAUCAUAACAUGUUUCAUCGUGACUAUCUCGAUUUAAUUGGCGAAACUACUAGAAUAGGGCUUUCUGCAGAGCAAAGAAGGUAGCUUUAGAUUCCAAAUUUUUUGAUUGGUGAAACGCAAAGAGCUGCAGAAGCAUUAAAGGCAGCUGCAAACAGUCCAAUGGUUGAACCUUCUUUAGUUGAAAUGAAAAAGUUGAUUGCUAAAGCAAUAUCAAGUCCAUAGAGACGGCAAUAGCGGAUCACUAUACAGUUUGUAGUGUGUGAAGAUCUUGCCGGAUUGUUGUCCAUAUUCGAAAGCAAUAGGACUGGCUUUCAAUUGCACUUUUCUUAACUUAUAUCUUGUGCAAGGUUAUUGCUCAUGGAGCAUGUAUACAAUCCCAGUGGCAGCCUUGAAAGAUAGUUAGCUGAUGAACUACGUGCCAGAGUAUGUUUUGAAGCUCAUCCAUAAGCAUUAUAACGAACCUAACGUAGCUUUUAUUUUGUUGCAAGUUCCCCACCAUAAUACCACACCACUUUCAGUCUACAACUUUAUAUAUAUCAUAUAUAUAAAUUUAUGUCUUUUGAGUAUUUCUUUUCUUAAAUUUAAUUAUCAUUAGAUUAAAGCAGUAAAGAUAAAGGAUCCCAAUUUCCCUUUUUGUGAAAAAGAAUUGACAUCCCUAAAUUAUUAACAAUGAUAUAAUAUAUAUAUUUUCGAUUUUA
This is a long non-coding RNA of Erigeron canadensis, 1074 nucleotides long. RefSeq lists it as uncharacterized. The transcript is spliced from 5 exons. The record is from RefSeq and is a predicted model, not a curated record. Lineage: Eukaryota; Viridiplantae; Streptophyta; Magnoliopsida; Asterales; Asteraceae.